CCCUGAGGGGGAUGCGAAGAAAGGGAAAGAAAGGUGCUAAAUAGAGGGAGAAGACAAGAAGAUUGAAGGAUGAGCGGCCCGAGCAGUCCAAAUCUAGGAGCGCAUCCAUGCCUUGGAACUAAGGAACCGGAAGGCGCAGAGGCAGCCAGGCAAACCCCGGGGUGGUGGAUCAGCCAGAGCAAAUGUGGGAUAAGGUCAGUGUGCCGGAGUACCAGUAUUGGACUCUGGGGAUGCAGGGCUCUUCCUGGACCAUAUCAUCUAUUAUGGAUGUAAAGCUGAUGGAGUGGGGAUGUCCUUGGGGACUGGGUCCUCCAGUGUCAAUUGGGAGUGGAAGAUCUAGUCACACAGAGAGUCAGCAGCAGUUUUCAAACCUUUAAGUGUCCUCUGGCACGGUGAAGUCAAGGGCUCUGAUAGUCCUGGAAGUGUGGCUAAGAAAUCUCCCAGUAACAGUUGGGUAUCUGGUCUUGCCAAGAUUCUGUACAAUCUGGGAGUCUCUGCUUAUUUUUCUGGCUACAUUGCAUCCUUUCCUGUCCCUUGGGACAUUUAUUAUUAUUAUUAUUAUUAUUAUUAUUAUUAUUAUUAUUAUUCCUCAGAUGACCUCAGCCCUUAACUGAUGUUCCUCCUCAUCACCUUGUCCUCCAGCCUCAAGGAGUCUGCUUUCAGCUCCUUAGCCUGGCUACCCUCUAGGACUCUUUAAAAGAUGACAGGGUAACCUUUACCCCAGCUAACCCUAUUAUCCUCAAGACUUAGCCCUCCUAUAGAGAGAGGGUGGCCUUGACUUCUACCAUUGUAGACAAAGCCAGCUUGCCCACCAGUCUCUGAUCCUAUAAGAAGCAGAUGUGAGGGUGGAGUGAAGCCAAGGAGGGGGUCUCCCCCUGUGACCACGGGAGGAGAGUCUCCACAGGGUUGUAGUCUGGCGCUGGAAAGCCAGAAGAGGCAGAAAGAAACAUCGAAGCAGAGCAACUCUGGCUGUGGUGGCUCAGAAGUCCUGGCAACCCGACUUCCGGUGAGAGAACCCCACCUGGCAAACCUAACUUCCGGUGGAGGAAUCCCACCUGGGAUUGAGAGAUAAAGGAACCAAGGCUCAGAGAGGUGCUUUGACUCACCCAAGGAGACCCAGCUGAGAACCUGCCUUAGGUCUGAUCAGACAGCUUGGCUACAAAGCCUUCAUCAUACAUCACCAGAGCUUCUCUCUAAGAGACCCAAUAUGCCAGCGCUGGGUGAGUGGGUGGACUCCUGCAAGAAAAGCCCCUCCCCUCCCACGUCUGCUGCGUUCAUCAUAUCCCCAUCAACCUCUUGCUGGGCAAGAGUGGAAGCUCAGCAAUCAGUCAAAAGAAAGACUACGUUGCCAGUGACCACGCCCCUCUGCUCACCUUUGGCCAAGGCCAGGUGGUACUUUGAGUGCUUGCGCUGCUUUCCCCGAGUGUUGGGAGAUCAUUGGAUCCCUGCCCUGGCUCCGACACCCUGCCAAGUGUCUUUCCUUCAAAGUUGGAGAUAUUUCUGUCCCUGAAAUGCUCACAUUUCAGCACCUUGCUGAGGUCUUUUGGAAGAGACUGGCUGGUGGGAGGCUGAUCGCCAGACUCUGCAGGGCCAGGGGACUUGGGACAGGGCUCCCCACCAGCUGGUCUGAAUGUGUGUGGCUCAAACUCCGGUAGGAGAGCUUCACAUGCAAGCAAGUGAGGCGGAUCAGAGGCUCAAAACAAGGGCCUGGGGCAUUGCAAACCAUUUUUAUGGCUGUUUUCUUUUCCAAGACAGGGUUUUUCUCUGUAACCCUGGCUGUCCUGGGAUUCUCUCUCUCUGUAAUUGAGGCUGGUCUCCAACUCACAGACAUCUGCCUGCUUCUGCCUCCAAAGUGCUGGGAUUAAAAGCUUGCACGAUUACUGCCCAGCUUAAGUGCUGUGGACUUUGAAUUCAGCAAGCCAAAUUUUAACCCCAGUACUGCCUUUUCCAGUGGGUGACUGAGCUGAUCGCUUUUGCACCUUAGUAGACUGAAGCCCAUGGUAGCAGUUGCCUUGUUAGGCUUAGAGAAGUGUCAGCCUUCAAUAAAAAUGGAUCAUUACCUGAACAUC
This is a long non-coding RNA of Mus musculus (house mouse), 2069 nucleotides long. RefSeq annotates it as expressed sequence AA387200. The transcript is spliced from 4 exons. The record is from RefSeq and is a predicted model, not a curated record. Lineage: Eukaryota; Metazoa; Chordata; Mammalia; Rodentia; Muridae.